This 207-nucleotide ribosomal RNA is filed under the name uncultured bacterium. RNAcentral describes it as "partial 16S ribosomal RNA". It matches the Rfam family "Bacterial small subunit ribosomal RNA", at positions 568 to 774 of the family's 1533-position model. The record is from RNAcentral.
GGCGUAGGCGGAAGUGUAAGCCAGACGUGAAAUCCCGGGGCUCAACCCCGGAACUGCAUUUGGAACUGCAUUUCUAGAGGAUAGGCGGAGAAAACGGAAUUCCACAUGUAGCGGUGAAAUGCGUAGAUAUGUGGAAGAACACCGGUGGCGAAGGCGGUUUUCUAGCUUAUUCCUGACGCUGAGGCCCGAAAGCUAGGGGAGCGAACA